GAGUUUGAUCGUGGCUCAGGAUGAACGCUGGCGGCGUGCCUAACACAUGCAAGUCGAACGGAUCCAUAUUGAAACCUAGUGAUGUAUGGAUUAGUGGCGGACGGGUGAGUAACGCGUGGAUAACCUGCCGUAUACAGGGGGAUAACACUUAGAAAUAGGUGCUAAUACCGCAUAAGCGCACGGUUCCGCAUGGAACAGUGUGAAAAACUCCGGUGGUAUACGAUGGAUCCGCGUCUGAUUAGCCAGUUGGCGGGGUAACGGCCCACCAAAGCGACGAUCAGUAGCCGGCCUGAGAGGGUGAACGGCCACAUUGGGACUGAGACACGGCCCAAACUCCUACGGGAGGCAGCAGUGGGGAAUAUUGCACAAUGGGGGAAACCCUGAUGCAGCGACGCCGCGUGAGUGAAGAGUAUUUCGGUACGUAAAGCUCUAUCAGCAGGAGAAAAAAAGUCCUUUGGACUUUGGACGGUACCUGACCAGAAGCCCCGGCUAACUCGUGCCAGCCGCCGCCGUAAC
Molecule: ribosomal RNA, 516 nt
Filed under: uncultured microorganism
Description: bacterial SSU rRNA
Rfam family: Bacterial small subunit ribosomal RNA
Source: RNAcentral